This 254-nucleotide ribosomal RNA is filed under the name uncultured bacterium. RNAcentral describes it as "partial 16S ribosomal RNA". It matches the Rfam family "Bacterial small subunit ribosomal RNA", at positions 524 to 776 of the family's 1533-position model. The record is from RNAcentral.
UACGAAGGGGGCUAGCGUUGUUCGGAUUUACUGGGCGUAAAGCGCACGUAGGCGGAUCGUUAAGUCGGGGGUGAAAUCCUGGAGCUCAACUCCAGAACUGCCUUCGAUACUGGCGAUCUUGAGUCCGGAAGAGGUGAGUGGAAUUCCUAGUGUAGAGGUGGAAUUCGUAGAUAUUAGGAAGAACACCAGUGGCGGAAGGCGGCUCACUGGUCCGGUACUGACGCUGAGGUGCGAAAGCGUGGGGAGCAAACAGG